RNAcentral lists this ribosomal RNA (301 nucleotides) under uncultured bacterium. RNAcentral describes it as "partial 16S ribosomal RNA". It matches the Rfam family "Bacterial small subunit ribosomal RNA", at positions 509 to 807 of the family's 1533-position model. The record is from RNAcentral.
CAGCAGCCACGGUAAUACGGAGGGUGCAAGCGUUAAUCGGAAUUACUGGGCGUAAAGCGUGCGUAGGCGGUUCGUUAAGUCUGUUGUGAAAGCCCCGGGCUCAACCUGGGAAUGGCAAUGGAUACUGGCGAGCUAGAGUGUGUCAGAGGAUGGUGGAAUUCCCGGUGUAGCGGUGAAAUGCGUAGAGAUCGGGAGGAACAUCAGUGGCGAAGGCGGCCAUCUGGGACAACACUGACGCUGAGGCACGAAAGCGUGGGGAGCAAACAGGAUUAGAUACCCGCGUAGUCCCUGUCUCUUAUAC